ACUCCUACGGGAGGCAGCAGUGGGGAAUAUUGCACAAUGGGGGAAACCCUGAUGCAGCCAUGCCGCGUGUGUGAAGAAGGCCUUCGGUUGUAAAGCACUUUCAGUAGGGAGGAAGGUAGUGUAGUUAACACCUGCAUUAUUUGACGUUACCUACAGAAGAAGCACCGGCUAACUCCGUGCCAGCAGCCGCGGUAAUACGGAGGGGUGCGAGCGUUAAUCGGAAUUACUGGGCGUAAAGCGCAUGCAGGCGGCCUGUUAAGUCAGAUGUGAAAGCCCGGGGGCUUAACCUCGGAAUUGCAUUUGAAACUGGCAGGCUAGAGUCUUGUAGAGGGGGUAGAAGUUUCAGGUGUAGCGGUGAAAUGCGUAGAGAUCUGAAGGAAUACCGAGUGGCGAAGGCGGCCCCCUGGACAAAGACUGACGCUCAGAUGCGAAAGGCGUGGGGAGCGAAACGAGGAUUAGAUACCCUGGUAGACUGUCA
RNAcentral lists this ribosomal RNA (478 nucleotides) under uncultured bacterium. RNAcentral's name for it is "bacterial SSU rRNA". It matches the Rfam family "Bacterial small subunit ribosomal RNA", at positions 335 to 801 of the family's 1533-position model. The record is from RNAcentral.